Molecule: long non-coding RNA, 2231 nt
Filed under: Bemisia tabaci
Lineage: Eukaryota; Metazoa; Arthropoda; Insecta; Hemiptera; Aleyrodidae
Description: lncRNA ENSSWEETPG004339
Source: RNAcentral
UGAAAAAUAGUCUGAAGCCGUGUAUAAAUUUAAUGGAAUCAAAACAAUGCACUACUACCAAUAUUAUUCAAGCUGGUGUUGAGGUUUAUAUAGAGGACCACUUCAUCAGGCAUGUCUAAUUGGGCAAAGGAAAUGAGCUCAUUAAGUUUAAAGUCAGAAGUUGCACUAUGUCUGAUAAAUGAGUGAAGCAGCAUUUUGAAAUGUUGGACUUUGUCUGCCUUACGAACAGGUAACGUGAAUCAUCAGAUGCUGAGAAAGCUUCUAAAGUAUGUAAUUUGUUUUUCCUUAAUGUAAGUAGUGUCUAAUAUCUGAUCGUGAUUUUUUUUUCGGCAGAAGUUCAAAAGAGAUCUCGUGAAGAGGCACUGAAAGAAAUCAAAGCGGAAAAAAUGCUGAAGAAAGAGGAAAAGCGAGAAGACUCGGAGAGACGUGUGCGAGAGAAAGAAGCUGCUGAUAGCGAUCUAGUCCUUCAUGGGAAUCGUCAAAUAGGGAGGAAUCAAGUCGGCAGAGCUCAAUGCAAUUCUCGAAAGACGAUUUAUCAAUAACACGGAAAUACCAUGAUAGCAAUCAUUACUACACUGGGAGCAGUUCGCAGCCGCAAGUUGUUGAUGAACGGGAACUGAGCAGUAUUUCUAAUUCCAGUGGUGGAUCUCUGCAUAGGCAUAGUCCAGAACCUGACAGAGAUUUGAAGCGGCGAAAAGUCGAAAGCAGCUCUUCAUCGAAGAGUUACAAAGUAGAGGAGCAACCAAAACAUAUUGAGUCUCUGAUAACACUCGACAAGAAAGAAAGGAGGGAUAAGUCUUCAAAGAAAACAUCCAAGUCUUCUGAUGGAGGUGAUUCAGCCAGAAAACCAGAUAAGCGAGAUAGGAAAUCUCGAAAACGGGGUCAAGCAGAUGAAAUCAUAGUCCUAACAGAUCAGCAAAAGAGGAGGAAAGAUGAUACCAAAGCAGGGUCGUCUAAGAUGAAUAGUCAUCAAAAUGGAGAGCCUAUUGAAGUUAUUGGAGAUAAACGUUUUGUAAAUGACAAGUAUGAAAGUGAUCGAAGUCGGGAUAGAGACCGAGACUCAAAAUCUAAACAUACCCGCAGAUCCAGUGAAAGCAAACGGAGGAUAUGAGAUCAGAAUGUAGAAUUUCUACCAGGAUUCAGUACAGCAGGAAGAUCAAGAGAUUCUUACUUCAUUUUGCGAAAUUCGUAGUAUCUCUGGAAAUUAGAAGAAUUGGCAGAAAGCUUGCUGCUUUGAAGACUCAAUUUUAGUAAAAACUAAUAAAAUAUGGAUGACAUCAAUUACAUUUUUUUAUUUUUAUAAUUUGCAAGUUUGGAAAAAACAAAGUGCUCAAAUUCAGCCUCUCUGGAAAAGUCUACUCUUUUGCAUUUCUCAAGUACUCCAUCAAGAAUAUCCGAAAUUUUAGAUCCCCGAAACUUUAGAUCCCCGAAACUUUAAACAUUUGUCUGUAAUUUUAUUUAAUACAUAUUUUUAAAUGUUAAUAACUCGAAAAACACAUAAAAUGAAAAUUGCAAAGUGUUCUAUCUUUCAAAUUGUUACAUUUAUGCCCGUACUUUCUGAGUUACUUUAAAGCAUUUCAUGAUACAAUUUUGUAAAAAAUACAGAGCACACUGCAGAAUAACUGAAGUCUUGAGGAUUUUAAGAAGAACGUUUAAAAUUUAGCAGUGUCAAUUUAAUUAAUCUACGGUCUAGUCUGCAACCUGUUCUCCAUUAUCCUCUACUUUAAGAUUGUUGUAACUUUGGUUCUCUCUACUGCAGUGACUUAGCUGAAUAUUUAAGUAAUACUAAUGUGAAUGUUGAUUGCAUAAAGGUUGCUAAGAAGUUAGUUCAUGCAGAUUGGCUGAAUCUGAACAAUAUAUUUUUGUCCUGACACUCCAGUGGCUCGAUUAUUGGAUCUAUGUUGAUACAUCAAGAUAAGACAAAGCUCUAUCUUAAGAAUUCAAAAUAUCACAUUUUGAUUGUUUUUUGCAUAUCGACGUAGAUUUAAAAUCCAGCCGCUAUCCCCUUCAAAUCUCACUUCCAUUAAAUUUCUAAUUUUGAUACUUAGUUGUAUUUAUAUGACAUUAGUCCAUCUCUAAUGGAUUCUUUCUGUAGAUAGACUUGUUCUCCAAAAAGGAAUAAGGAACAAGGAAAUGGAUACAAGAAACUUUUUGCUCCAUUGUUCCUUAUCGAGUUUUAACCAGUUUUUGACAAUUUGUUACCUUUGUAAUAGUUUUACUUUCCUGGAAAA